UAAUACGUAGGGGGCGAGCGUUGUCCGAAGUUACUGGGCGUAAAGCGCGCGUAGGCGGGUUGGCAAGUCCGCUGUGAAAGCCCGGAGCUUAACUCCGGAGGGUCGGUGGAUACUGCCAGUCUUGAAGGGACUAGGGGGAGAUGGAAUUACCGGUGUAGCGGUGAAAUGCGUAGAGAUCGGUAGGAACACCAGUGGCGAAGGCGGUCUCCUGGGGUUAUCUUGACGCUGAUGCGCGAAAGCUGGGGGAGCGAACGGGAUUAGAUACCCCGGUAGUCCCAGCCCUAAACGAUGGAUACUAGGUGUCGGGGGUAUCGACCCCUCCGGUGCCGCAGCUAACGCAGUAAGUAUCCCGCCUGGGGAGUACGGCCGCAAGGUUG
This 377-nucleotide ribosomal RNA is filed under the name uncultured bacterium. RNAcentral's name for it is "bacterial SSU rRNA". It matches the Rfam family "Bacterial small subunit ribosomal RNA", at positions 521 to 896 of the family's 1533-position model. The record is from RNAcentral.